UUAACUCCUAAUGAGAUCCCAUCUUCUCUCAUCUUCCAUUAUUUUUUUUAAAAACUACAAAAUUAUUUCUUAACUAAGUGAUUGUGUAAAUUAACAUCAUCCAUUUUCCUCACCAGAUUUUGUGUUGCAGACGUUGCUUUCUCCACUGAAAUUAUCACUAAUAGAAUCAGAGAAUGAUGUUCGACUGGGAGAUAUCGUUGCCAUUAAUAUUGGUGAUCUUGAUAAUGGCUUUGGCUUGUUACCUGUUGGGUAGAUCCAGGGGUCGCAAACAAGUCCAGGCAACUUCUCUACCACAAACCCAACCAAGGUAACAAAAGGUCCAGAAAGAUCAUUGAUUAUAACAGUUCUGGACUUGGAAAACUGCUACGUAAUUGUAAUAACCAUCUCCUAUUGCGAUGGAUUAUUAUAUUAUUGAAUAAAUUGUUGAAGAAUUUAGUUUUGUUGUCAUUAAGGGUUGUGUUGGGUGAUUGUUUGUUUUGACAAAAUAAGAGAUGUUGGUAUGUAACUAUGUAUUCAUGAACAUCAGAAUACAUCACUUAACGUGAAUUAAUUUGCGGACCAAGAUAUAUAAAUGAAUUGGAGUUGACA
Long non-coding RNA from Lathyrus oleraceus (garden pea), 588 nucleotides. RefSeq lists it as uncharacterized. The transcript has 2 exons. NCBI's taxonomy places the organism in Eukaryota, Viridiplantae, Streptophyta, Magnoliopsida, Fabales, Fabaceae. The record is from RefSeq and is a predicted model, not a curated record.